RNAcentral lists this non-coding RNA (156 nucleotides) under Zavarzinia aquatilis. RNAcentral describes it as "6S / SsrS RNA". It matches the Rfam family "6S / SsrS RNA". From Rfam's summary of the family: E. coli 6S RNA was the first non coding RNA to be sequenced, but its function was unknown until recently. It consists of 184 nucleotides that fold into an extended hairpin structure with a large single-stranded internal bulge. The record is from Rfam by way of RNAcentral. Lineage: Bacteria; Pseudomonadati; Pseudomonadota; Alphaproteobacteria; Rhodospirillales; Zavarziniaceae.
CGGGUACUGCUGCGCGCGCCAGGCACUGCAAUCCCUGGGGCCAAUACCGACUCUUUGGGAGCUGUCCCUUGCCGGGCUCUGGUCCGGGAACAUGGCGCCCACCUGCUGACGCAGGCCACAGAGGAUCGGAACGCCAGCGGCGUCGGUGGUCCCGCC